This 289-nucleotide long non-coding RNA is filed under the name Brachypodium distachyon (stiff brome). RNAcentral's name for it is "long non-coding RNA (BDIS_LNC000140)". Lineage: Eukaryota; Viridiplantae; Streptophyta; Magnoliopsida; Poales; Poaceae. The record is from RNAcentral.
AGGCAAGAUCAAUUGCUACUCUGCUUUGCUUGGUUCCACAUCAUCCAUCCCAUGGACAACUCUCCAAGCAUGCAUCAACAACAGAGGUUGCAGUUGCAGGCACCCAGAUAAAGUUGCUGGUCUUUCCAUAGAUUAGGACAGCUACACAAAGCAGCACAGCACACUGCUCCCUUUUUUUUCUUUCUCUCUUUCUUUCUUGAUAUUCUACACACACCACCACCUCUACCCAGGCCAGGUCCCCUACUAGCAUGUGUAUGCGUGUAUGCCUUUGCAGCCGGCCAGCACAGAG